AUUUAAAUAGCUUAUAAAGAGCAUAAUAUUGAAGAUAUUAAGGAGAUUAAUAAAUCUUUAGAUA
RNAcentral lists this transfer RNA (64 nucleotides) under Papilio protenor. Its description in RNAcentral is "tRNA-Phe". The record is from RNAcentral. Lineage: Eukaryota; Metazoa; Arthropoda; Insecta; Lepidoptera; Papilionidae.